UACGUAGGGGGCAAGCGUUGUCCGGAUUUAUUGGGCGUAAAGGGCGCGUAGGCGGUUUCUUAAGUUUGAAGUGACAGUGGGUGGCUUAACUACCCAAGGUCUUUGAAAACUGGGGAACUUGAGGACCAGAGAGGGACAUAGAAUUCCGGGUGGAGUGGUGAAAUGCGUAGAUAUCCGGAGGAAUACCAAAGGCGAAGGCAGUGUCCUGGAGGGUUAACUGACGCUGAGGCGCGAAAGCUAGGGGAGCGAACAGG
RNAcentral lists this ribosomal RNA (254 nucleotides) under uncultured bacterium. Its description in RNAcentral is "partial 16S ribosomal RNA". It matches the Rfam family "Bacterial small subunit ribosomal RNA", at positions 524 to 776 of the family's 1533-position model. The record is from RNAcentral.